UAUAUAUAUAUAUAUAUAUACCAUUAUUAUUCUGUUAUAUUAAUGGAAUAAAUUCAGCUAACAAGAACACAACUGGGUGUUUUUGAUUUACAACUUUAAAUUAUAUUGAUCAAUAAAACAGUCAAUUAAACAGAUUCAUGGUGCAUUUUGUGGCUGAACUGUUGUUAGUGAACCAGUUAAAUACACACUCAGUUAAGGCUCAUCUUUUAUUAGUAAUCAGAUCUUGCACAUGGACGAGUAUAAAGCACAUUUACCAACUGCAGAUGUUCACAACAAAGCCAUCAUCACUAAAAUUAGAUCCUCAAGGCCGUCUGUCUGUCUGUCUCUGUAUGUAUCUUUCUGUCUAUAUCUGUAUCUGUCUGACUGUCUUUGUUUGUUUUUCUAUGUCUGUCUGUCUGUGGUCUUUCUGUAACUGUCUUUUUGUCUGUGUGUGUGUGUGUGUGUUAAUAUUAUUUAAAUACAAAAAUGCUUGAAUAAAUGAAUUUCUUUUUGUGUGUAUGUAUAGAUAGAUAGAUUAUUAAAAAUUAUAAUAAAACUAAAUGACAUAUAUAUACAGUAUAUAAACACACAUAUAAAUCCUGUAAAAUUAUGUAUUUUAAAUGUUUUGCAGAUAGUAUUACCCACAGAACUGAAAUAAUUUAAAUGCUUUUCUAAAUUAAUUAUUCUUAAAGAAGAAGAGAGUGCACUUUUCUUGCUAAUUUAUAUAUUAAUUUACAGUUGUGAAUUAUGAUUUGCUACUUGCUAUUGCAAGUUAAAAGUAGGUGUUAUUAGGGUGAAUUUUUGAUUGAAUGUUGACUUGAAGCUUCAGUAUGUGUUGCAUCGGGAAUAUUUGCAUUCAUGUUAAAAAGUGCAAUUGAGACUAAUUAGGAUCAUUAAGAAAGACUGCAUAGAGUAUGUGUGUACCUGACUACACUUUGAACCCAGUGUUGUGUUUGUCGGUGUGUGUAGAAAAGAGUUGAACGAUCUCCAGGUUGUGCAUUCUGUGUUUUAUUAUCCAGCCUUGGAAUAACAGUAUCUCUCCAUCAGCGAUGAAUCAAGCGUACAGUCAGUCACCUUCACAUUACAGCAGCAGCAUCUCUCAUCCACACUAAAGGAGAUGAAGAACGCAUUCAAGCUAAAGAUCUCAUACCCACCUACAUCUCCACCGCAGCGUAAUCGCUGAAUGUUAUGUUCCACAUGCUGAAAAAUAACAGCUGUAUCUUAUGAAUAUUUAUGAUAAAUAUAGCUAUUGGUGAUAAAUAUUUAAUUGUAGCUCUUUCAGAGGCCUGUUCAUUUGCACAGACUGAGAGAUCUAUCUAUCUAUCUAUCUAUCUAUCUAUCUAUCUAUCUAUCUAUCUAUCUAUCUAUCUAUCUAUCUAUCUAUCUAUCUAUCGACACGUUUGAUAGAGGCGGGGCAUAGAGGACCUUCAAUAAUGUACAGUAUUUGAAAAAUAAUGUGUUUUUUGAACAUUAAAGCAUGUCAACAUAUUCUGUUACACCAAAUACACAAAAUAACGAUCUUUAAAAAAGCAUCAUAUGACCCCUUUAAUCACAUUUUUGCCUUAAUAAUUCUUUUAAUUGGUCAAAGGCAAAACAGGAGAUUGAAAUGGAAAAAUCUUAAAGGGAUAGUUCACCCAAAAAUGAAAAUUAGUUGUUAAUUUACUCACUCUCUGGUCAUCCAAUAUGCAGGUGUCUUUUAUUCUUAAGUAGAACAGUAAAGAAGAUUUUUAGCUAAAACUGUGCUCCUUGAAGAUUCAUAAAAUGCAAGUCAGUGGCUACUGGCACUUAAGAGUCAAAAAAUGUAAAUACAGGCAAAUAAAAUGAAUAUCCGAAUCUCCUCAUGAUAUAUUGAGGUCUUAUGAAGUGAAACAAUCGGUAUGUGCAAGAAACUUAACAUUAUUUACAACAUUAUUACUUGUAAUCCAGACCCUCAGGCAAACAGUGCGGAGUGAUGUCCGAUUCAUAAACGAAUCAUUCUUUUGAGUCGGUUCUUUUGCAAACUAAAUGAACCAGUUCACCAAAUCAGACUGAACUGUUGAAAGAGUUCACGGCUCAAGCAGCCCAGAUCUACAAGUCACUCAAUCAAAACUCACUUUCAGAUGCCCGAUAGUCACUCCGACUCACAAAAUGAGCCAAAGAAGUGGUGUAUUUGAUCCUGUGAUGAAUGAACUGAUUCAGCGCUCCAGUUCCUCUAACAGUCACUGAACUGAGGAAACAGUUCGAUAUCAUUUGAUAUGCGCAUACAUGAAACAAUCUCAUGCUGCAUGUAAAAAGUUGAGCUGCUGAAGACUCGUUUAUUCACUUUAUAUAUAAAACAUCCACGUUUCACAUCAUUAUUGCGUGUUUUAAUAAUAUAAUUGCGUAUGCAUUACAUCAUGAUUACAUAAACAAACUAGUGAAUUGAAUCAGUUCAUAGAAACGAAUUGAAAGAAAGAAUCAGUUCACAGAAAAGAACUGGAUUUUCUCAUUUGCCUGAGGCUCUGGAUUACAAUGUUGUAAUUAAUGU
Molecule: long non-coding RNA, 2485 nt
Organism: Cyprinus carpio carpio
Lineage: Eukaryota; Metazoa; Chordata; Actinopteri; Cypriniformes; Cyprinidae
Source: Ensembl